CGGGGAAAGUAGCCAGUGCUCCGUGGACUGUGAACAGGAUGAAUCGCUUCCAAAUACUCAAGUUGUGACAAAGUACUCCAAUUACCAUCUGCGCGUCGUAUCACUCAGAUACAAAAUCACAAAAAAGACCAAGGAUGAAGCUUCUACGCAAGUAACACCUAAACGAAGCUUUAGAAAAAAAAAA
This is a non-coding RNA of Penaeus vannamei (Pacific white shrimp), 184 nucleotides long. The record is from RefSeq and is a predicted model, not a curated record. NCBI's taxonomy places the organism in Eukaryota, Metazoa, Arthropoda, Malacostraca, Decapoda, Penaeidae.